Xenopus tropicalis (tropical clawed frog) is the source of this 133-nucleotide small nucleolar RNA. The record is from Ensembl. NCBI's taxonomy places the organism in Eukaryota, Metazoa, Chordata, Amphibia, Anura, Pipidae.
CCUCUUCUUAAAGCACUUGCAGUGUCUGCUCGGUGGCACGAUGAGUUGUCGUGGAAGAGGAUAGAAAGACAUUGCUUUUGGGUGAAGAGGCAGCUACAUGUGCUGUUCUGCUUCAAUCAGUGAUGUGACAAGU